This 238-nucleotide ribosomal RNA is filed under the name Paraclostridium benzoelyticum. RNAcentral's name for it is "partial 16S ribosomal RNA". It matches the Rfam family "Bacterial small subunit ribosomal RNA", at positions 1 to 248 of the family's 1533-position model. The record is from RNAcentral. Lineage: Bacteria; Bacillati; Bacillota; Clostridia; Peptostreptococcales; Peptostreptococcaceae.
UUAUAUUUGAGAGUUUGAUCCUGGCUCAGGAUGAACGCUGGCGGCGUGCCUAACACAUGCAAGUCGAGCGAUCUCUUCGGAGAGAGCGGCGGACGGGUGAGUAACGCGUGGGUAACCUGCCCUGUACACACGGAUAACAUACCGAAAGGUAUACUAAUACGGGAUAACAUAUAAAAGUCGCAUGGCUUUUGUAUCAAAGCUCCGGCGGUACAGGAUGGACCCGCGUCUGAUUAGCUAG